This is a long non-coding RNA of Siniperca chuatsi (mandarin fish), 2466 nucleotides long. RefSeq lists it as uncharacterized. The transcript has 2 exons. The record is from RefSeq and is a predicted model, not a curated record. Lineage: Eukaryota; Metazoa; Chordata; Actinopteri; Centrarchiformes; Sinipercidae.
GUCACGUCCGCGAGCCGGUUUUGUUCCGUCCUCCAAGCGGCAUCAUACUCCACCGAGCGUUUCAGAAGCAGAGCGGUUUGCCUGCCUAACGUUGUUGAUUUGUUCCCUUUCCCUUGGCUUUUGUGUUUCUAUCAUGGCUUGACGGGGCUUCCUUCAAAAAGAGACUCGCCGCGUAUUCACCGAGGAGCGAGUCGCUUCGCAACGCCGCCGUGACCGGUGAAAUCCCGGGCUUAGAACAAACGACCUAUGUGGUGGGAGGACUUGUUGGGUCAGUUGUAUGACAUUUUACUAGCUGGAGCAUUAUUAAAAGUUUUUCAGCAGGUGAUUCGUAUAAACAGCAGGGCUCUUCACAACUAAUCCAUCAUCUUCGCUGAAGAGCUCUUGCUGCUUCAAAGGUGACAACAUGCAGAGAGUAAUUGAUUUCAACUUUAAAGUCAUGUGUUUCCCUUGACUAGUAUGUUAGAUAAAUGUCUGUAAUGCAAAUAUAAAUCCACUCAAUUUUCUGACAUUUAAGCUGUAAUAAACACAUUUUAAAGUGGCAGAGGAGAACAAGUAUUUUCUGUUGUUGGGAAUAUGUUGUCCUUCAAACUGAAUGCUCUGUCACGUCUCAGUGUUUCCUCUACUGUCAGAUGCUUGAUGGAAGUCGACUGUGUAGUCGACUUUCAUCUAAAAUAAUCAGCCUGUCCUCUUUCUCAGGGUUUUUCAUAUUGUGAUGGAGAAGAAAUUGGUGAAUGAUUUGUCAUUACAUUGUAAUGGAAAUCACCUUGUUGUUGUUUCUGCUCAUUUCAGACCAAAAGAGCCUCAUGAGAGACUCAUUGCCUCUGAGGAAAUACUAUCCAGAUGCUGAGUGCUAUUAAGGUUCUCUGAAAAUUAUUGGCUACUUUAAUCUUCAGCACACUGCAGACAAAGUGGAUGAUUCUUCACCCUUUUAAAAUCAGUUUUUUUUUGUUUUGUUUACAACCAUAAACUUUUUUUUUUAUGUGGAGAAGUGAAAGUUUGUUUAGGUAGAGCAAAAUCACUGAAAAACAUAAAUAUGUGGAAUGUAAUUCCAGGCGUCAUGGACCACAUGUUGUCCUUCAGAGGUGCAAGUGAUAUUACACUAAGAUAAAUAUAUCGGUGGGAUGGCCAAGUGUCAUGUCUUAUAAUGGGGCCUAGACAUCCAAGAAGAGCCUCUGAUCACACAGUUACAAGUGACAAGGCAUAAAAUACUGUUGUAGAAAACACAGCAGGUGGCGAUCAAUCAAUGACAUCUGCUGCUUGUAAAUGCACAGAAAAUUCCAUUCUCAACCCAGUUGCUCAAGAAAACCUGGUUUUGGUUGACACAUGUAAACACCAUAACUCAAAAUCACCUAUUUUAGAUGCCUUGCAGUUACUGUGGCAUAGAAACAUCUUACUUCCUGUUUUUGCAAGCUACACAGGCACACAGCAUUGUGGGUACAUUUUGACUUCAACAAAAACACACAUUUGGGAUAAUUUCCUUACCUUAGUGUCUGCCAUUUUGAUAAUGAUGAUGGAUAAUCAAAUUAAAAGCUAAUAAAAUACUAAAUGCAUGAUUUACCUUCCCUUUCAUGCUCAACACAUGGUCCAGAGUUAAAUCCAUACAACUACUAGAUGGAUUACCAAGAGAUUUUGUACAGACUGAGCAUGGUUCUUCAGUUUAUAAUAAGACGCUGUCAGCCUAGUACUUGAGUAACUUGAUGUUACCAUUCUAAUAUGCUACAUGAUGUAGGUUGCUGACAUGCAAUGCUUGUUAAGGUCUAAUAAGUGUUAACACGCUCACAUUAACACAUUAACAUGCUAGCUCAAAGCACAGCUGAGGCUGACAAAGUACACCUGAUACCUAUAAUGAGUCUGUAGCUUUCGGGUGUAUUUGUAUUGAGCAUGUAAUUUACAUACUUACCUUGAACAUUGUCUCCUAGAAAUUACGUUUUUAUAGUACUAGAUUGUUUUCCCAAUUAUGUUGUGGUGAGAAACUGGUUGGAUUAUGUUCGGAGGCAACGUUUUUUUUUAGUUUGAAAUUUAUUAACCGUACCAGAGUCACAGGGAGGUGGUCUGGGCGGAUGGCAGGUGUACAAAGCUCAGGACUUUGACUCCAGAGACUGUGGUUGGCACCCUGAAUACAGUCUGUGGUUGGGUUUAGGCAACAAAGUACUUUGAUUAAGGUUACGAAAACAUUGUUUCGAUUAAAUGUUAACAAUGACAUUAUGUCUCGUGAUUCAAGUCACUGCAGACACUUUCUGUAUUAAAACAAAACCAUGAUCUUUCCCUAACUUUGAAAAUGACAUAUGUUGUCAUUGAACAUUUUACAAAUAUGUUCUGCAUCAACAUUUUUUCCAGAGAUUUGUUAACAUUUCCUCAUUAUGUUCUUAACUCUGAAUUAUUUUCUUUUUCCCCAUGUUGAUCAAUGAAUGUUGUCCCUGACAAAUAAACUAAUAAACUAAUAAACUGAAAUAGCAAUAACUCUAA